RNAcentral lists this ribosomal RNA (612 nucleotides) under bacterium U03. Its description in RNAcentral is "bacterial SSU rRNA". It matches the Rfam family "Bacterial small subunit ribosomal RNA", at positions 66 to 685 of the family's 1533-position model. The record is from RNAcentral.
CGAUGAAGACUGGUGCUUGCACUGGUUGGAUUAGUGGCGAACGGGUGAGUAAUACGUGAGUAACCUGCCUUUGACUCUGGGAUAAGCCUGGGAAACUGGGUCUAAUACCGGAUAUGACAAGGAACCGCAUGGUUUUUUGUGGAAAGGGUUUGUACUGGUUUUAGAUGGGCUCACGGCCUAUCAGCUUGUUGGUGGGGUAAUGGCUCACCAAGGCGACGACGGGUAGCCGGCCUGAGAGGGUGACCGGCCACACUGGGACUGAGACACGGCCCAGACUCCUACGGGAGGCAGCAGUGGGGAAUAUUGCACAAUGGGCGCAAGCCUGAUGCAGCGACGCCGCGUGAGGGAUGACGGCCUUCGGGUUGUAAACCUCUUUCAGCAGGGAAGAAGCGAAAGUGACGGUACCUGCAGAAGAAGCGCCGGCUAACUACGUGCCAGCAGCCGCGGUAAUACGUAGGGCGCGAGCGUUGUCCGGAAUUAUUGGGCGUAAAGAGCUUGUAGGCGGUUUGUUGCGUCUGCUGUGAAAGACCGGGGCUUAACCCCGGUAUUGCAGUGGGUACGGGCAGACUAGAGUGCAGUAGGGGAGACUGGAAUUCCUGGUGUANCGGUGAA